Camellia sinensis is the source of this 454-nucleotide non-coding RNA. Lineage: Eukaryota; Viridiplantae; Streptophyta; Magnoliopsida; Ericales; Theaceae. The record is from RefSeq and is a predicted model, not a curated record.
AACCUUUGAGAAGAUCUUUAGUACAGAUUGGCACCAUCCAUAUUCUCGUCAUUGUUUUCAUUUGAUACACUGAUCAUGAAGUAUUUGGAAUACACUCCUCUUGAUUGGUAAUUGUUAAACUUUCUAUCUUAAGCAGAAGCAUGCUAAUACACUUGAUUGGGUACAGUCCCUCAUGCGGUUUGAUCAGUAUUAUGCUCUUAUCAUUUUUUUUUCUUUUAAUUUUUUUGUUACUUUCGUUCAGUUUCUUUUGUAUAGUAAGUAGUAAUUUGUCAUGUCAUCCAGUAUAAGUGAUUUCUUAAGUCAUGUAAAUCUUGGAGAGCGUACCAUCAAAGGAUGCCUUGAAGCUUACUCUUGCAAACAUACAGGAAGUGAUAAGAAGUUGUCUCUCAGCUUGGAGCAUGAGAUUCUAGAUUAUCUUGGAAAAUCAUCAGACACUGACUCGUCAUCACCAAUG